This 29-nucleotide non-coding RNA is filed under the name Homo sapiens (human). Lineage: Eukaryota; Metazoa; Chordata; Mammalia; Primates; Hominidae. The record is from RNAcentral.
UAUCAGGGACCCUGUAGAGAUGGGGUGGA